AAUAUUAAAUAUUUCAGGUAAAUUUUUUGUUCCUAACAAAACUGUUUCCAUAAGUACCUUAAGCCGUGUGAACUAAAAUAUGAUCCAAGUGCAGUUUUAAGAGCUACAGUCAAGUUCAGCAGCAUCCAUUGCUCUAAACUGAACUGAGUCAUUGAGGUUAAGUCUUUGCCUUUAGGAUGGAAACCAGGUCAACUAGCAAUUAAAGGGACUGACGCCCUGUGAAAAGAGCCCUGAACAUGCAUCUGCCAUUAACUAUCUCAACCAGCUACGUGACCUUGGGGAAGACACCUUUCUGCCUUUCUUUCCUCUCUGUAAGAUGAGACCCAGGAGGUGGAUCCUGCUGGUCCCAGAAGGUGCUGUGUCUGUCAAGUGAAAUAGUGGCUGUAGGAGAGCUUCGGAAAAAAUAUUUUAUGUAAGAAAUAUUAAGUACACAAUAAACACUACUUCCAUUAAGCCAUGAGCUGAGUCACUUAGACUGGCAAUGAGGUAAAUGAUGAAGGACAAAAGGUCAUGGCUGAUUAGAUGUCCUCCUGAGCUGAGUCACUCUCCUGGGGCCCUCUUUUCAUUGGGGUGAGUCAACAGAGGGUGACAGCGAAGGGCCUGUCAGGUGAGCAGCAGGGGAGGGAGGGGGUUGGACUUUAGGAAGUGAUUCAUGCGGUAGAAGGUGAGUGAAAAGGUAGGAACAAAUAGGCAGCUAAGGAUACUCCAUCAGUGAGAAUUAUGGUUUCAUUCCAACAGUCACUCUCCUAAUAUGCCCUGGGCACCUACUAUGCGCAAGGUACCAGGCAGGAGGCUGUGGGGGAUUCUGGCUGCGUGGCAUAGUUCUUGCCCUUGGUCAUGCUUUUUUGAGCUCGGUUUUCUCAUCUGUAAGAAGAAAGGGUUGGACUUCAAUGGAACAUCUUCAGCACAGUUUACUACCUACCAUUCCCUAAUCUUGUGCCCACCUCAGACAUCAACAUCAGUCCCGGCAUUGUUUCUUGUUGAUCCCACCGUUGACCUUGUCACGUUUGUCAGUGUCAUGCCCUAGGUAACCACCAUCAAUCAGUAAGAAUUAACAGUUGAAAUGGAAUCUAUUUGCCACCCCUGGUCUGGAAGAUUUCAAAAGGUACCAUCAAAAUCCUAAGAUUAUCUUCCUUACACAGCCUGCCGAUGUUUAGUGGCAAUGAUUUAAAACAACUGAACAUUUGGAAAGCACUCAUAAUACCUUUUGUUAGAUGAGAGCUCUGGGGAAUAGGGCACCAGACUAAUGAAGUACUUAAAACGUCUCACACAUAGCCCUUGGCAUUCCAGAACUAACUGAUGGGCUGUUGGGGUCUGACCUCCGGAUAUAGAGAUAUCAUCUGGUUUCUCCUAAAUAUAAGCUGCACUACGUGAUUUUAAAACUAUGCCACAAGCAAGGGAGAAAGAGAACAUUUAGCAAUAAAAAGAUACAGCUAUUGGCAGCAAUGCACUAUUAGAUCCCUGUGGAAUUUUUGAAGUUAUGGUUGUUGAGAUGGCACUGCAAAGACAUACAGCUCUGAGCAUGAUCUCCUUUAGCCUCCUGGACCUCACUGGGGAAGGGCACAUUAGCAGUCUGGGUCCGUAGCAAGGAAUUGCAUAUUUGCAUACAUUACCCAGUGUGAGUGAUUUACGGGAAGCAUAUUGUUCAUGAUUGCACUGAUUAGGACUCUAUGAAUAGAUGCUGAUACAUAUUGUCCUGGGUUGUUCUAUUUAACUCUGGACUCUAAAUUUCUUUGCCUGGAGAAAUCAAGACAUUCAAAAGAAACAACACAUUUUGAAUACACACUAUUGAUUUAUACCUGCAAAAAAGGACAAUAGCUUUAAGGGGAAUCAGGGCCCCUUUUGGCUGGUGUGUUCCUUUUGAUAUCGUUUGAAACUCAGUGUCCUUCCACACAGAAUUCAUAAAUUAAUCCAGAUGGAGAUGCUCUGCUUUUGUUCUGUCUGCAAGUAGCUGUGAUUUUUUCCAGAAUUUCCUCCCUGGCUUAAGAAGACAAUCUGACGACACUGCUUUGGUGCAGCAAAGGUAGAGCUACCUAAGGUAGUCCAGGGAGGUCCACCCAAGAAGGAAGCUGCAGCCGUGUGCAAUUCAUCUGUGGUGUCCUGUGCACAUUUUCAUUUUUCCCUCCCUGCACUUCUCAUCUCUGUGUAGCAAACACAUAUGAGCACUUGUAUUAGUCUGCUAGUGCAGCCAUAGCAAAAUACCACAUACCGGUGGCUUAAAAAAUCAGAAUUUAUUUUCUUACAGUUCUUGACGCUCCAAGUCCAAUAGCAAGGCACCUGUAAAGUUGGUUCCUCUGAGGACCCUGAAGGAAGGAUCUGAUCCAGGCCUUUCUCCUUAUCUUGCAGAUGGCCACUCUCUUGCUGCCCCUUCACGUGGCAAUCCUGUGUCUCACUCUGUGUCCUAAUUUCCUCUUCUUAUAAGGACACCAUUCGAAUUGGAUUAGGGCCCACCCUAACGGCUUCAUUUUAAUUUUAUUACCUCUUUAAGGGCCCUAUCUGCAAAUAUAUCCACACUCUGAGAUACUGAGGCUUUAAUAUAUGAGUUUUGGGGUAAUAGAAUUCAGCUUGUAAUAGCACUCAUUAUGAUUUAGGUUCUCUUUCUAAAUUCUUCAUGCAUAUUAUUUCAUCUAAUUCUCACAGCAACUCUAGCUCACAGUAAGCUAGGUGCUAUUACUGGCAAGAAAACAGAGAUACAGAGAGAAGAUCUUGCCCACCCAAGAUCUGAAACAUACAUGUAUGCAGUUAUUUUAUUUGACAAAGAGUCAUGUCUCAUUUACGGCCAUACCACCCUGAACAUGCUCGACCUCAUCUGAUCUCAGAUGCUAAGCAGGG
RNAcentral lists this long non-coding RNA (2832 nucleotides) under Papio anubis (olive baboon). RNAcentral describes it as "lncRNA (ENSPANG00000050209.1)". Lineage: Eukaryota; Metazoa; Chordata; Mammalia; Primates; Cercopithecidae. The record is from RNAcentral.